AGUGAACGCUGGCGGUAGGCCUAACACAUGCAAGUCGAACGGCAGCACAGUAAAAGCUUGCUCUUACGGGUGGCGAGUGGCGGACGGGUGAGGAAUACAUCGGAAUCUACUUAUUCGUGGGGGAUAACGUAGGGAAACUUACGCUAAUACCGCAUAAGACCUACGGGUGAAAGCAGGGGCUCUUCGGACCUUGGGCGAUUGAAUGAGCCGAUGUCGGAUUAGCUAGUUGGCGGGGUAAAGGCCCACCAAGGCGACGAUCCGUAGCUGGUCUGAGAGGAUGAUCAGCCACCCUGGAACUGAGACACGGUCCACACUCCUACGGGAGGCAGCAGUGGGGAAUAUUGCACAAUGGGCGCAAGCCUGAUCCAGCCAUACCGCGUGAGUGAAGAAGGCCUUCGGGUUGUAAAGCCCUUUUGUUGGGAAAGAAAAGCAGCAGGUUAAUACCCCGCUGUUCUGACGGUACCCAAAGAAUAAGCACCGGCUAACUUCGUG
This 492-nucleotide ribosomal RNA is filed under the name uncultured bacterium. Its description in RNAcentral is "partial 16S ribosomal RNA". It matches the Rfam family "Bacterial small subunit ribosomal RNA", at positions 29 to 507 of the family's 1533-position model. The record is from RNAcentral.